GAAGCUCCCAAGGGUAUGGCUGUUCGCCAUUUAAAGCGGUACGCGAGCUGGGUUCAGAACGUCGUGAGACAGUUUGGCCUCUAUCUGCCGUAGUCGUAGGAAAAUUGAGAAGCUCUGCUCCUAGUACGAGAGGACCGGAGUGGACAAACCUCUGGUGUACCAGUUGUCGUGUCAACGGCAUUGCUGGGUAGCUACGUUUGGUUGUGAUAACCGCUGAAAGCAUCUAAGCGGGAAGCCAUCUUCAAGAUUAUUUUCCCUAUAGGUCCGAAGGAGACUACUUCGUUGAUAGGCAUCAAGUGUACGCACAGCAAUGUGUUAGCUGAGAUGUACUAAUAGACCAAUCGACUUUUUAUC
This 354-nucleotide ribosomal RNA is filed under the name Candidatus Peregrinibacteria bacterium. RNAcentral describes it as "partial 23S ribosomal RNA". It matches the Rfam family "Bacterial large subunit ribosomal RNA", at positions 2558 to 2925 of the family's 2925-position model. Lineage: Bacteria; Candidatus Peregrinibacteriota. The record is from RNAcentral.